CCUACCCUUAGGACCGGGAUAACCUUGGGAAACUGAGGACAAUACUGGAUAGGCAAUUUUUCCUGUAAUGGUUUUUUGUUUAAAUGUUUUUUCGCCUAAGGAUGGGUCUGCGGCCGAUUAGGUAGUUGGUUAGGUAAUGGCUUACCAAGCCGUUGAUCGGUACGGGUUGUGAGAGCAAGAGCCCGGAGAUGGAACCUGAGACAAGGUUCCAGGCCCUACGGGGUGCAGCAGGCGCGAAACCUCCGCAAUGUGAGAAAUCGCGACGGGGGGAUCCCAAGUGCCAUUCUUAACGGGAUGGCUUUUCAUUAGUGUAAAAAGCUUUUGGAAUAAGAGCUGGGCAAGACCGGUGCCAGCCGCCGCGGUAACACCGGCAGCUCUAGUGGUAGCAAUUUUUAUUGGGCCUAAAGCGUCCGUAGCCGGUUUAAUAAGUCUCUGGUGAAAUCCUGUAGCUUAACUGUG
RNAcentral lists this ribosomal RNA (459 nucleotides) under uncultured archaeon. Its description in RNAcentral is "bacterial SSU rRNA". It matches the Rfam family "Archaeal small subunit ribosomal RNA", at positions 108 to 567 of the family's 1478-position model. The record is from RNAcentral.